UUUGAGAAAGAGAGAGCAUGCAUAAGUUGGAAGAGGGGUGUAGAGAGAGGGAGACACAGACUCCUCCCUGAGCAGGGAGACUGACAUGGGGCUCGAUCCCAGGACCCUGAGAUAAUGACCUAUGCCAAAGGCAGAUGUGACUUAGCCAGGCACUCCUUAAUACACAUUCUUGUUAAGGGCCUACUAUGUGCCAGGUACUUUGCUAGGCUCUCGACCAUAGGGCUGAAUAAGAUAUAAUAAGAUAUAACAAAAGAAUAUUAAAUAUUAAAUGAGAUGAGAUAUUAAAAACUAGAUGGUCUAUCACUAGGAAAUUUAGGUCUAAGAGAAGGAAAGGACUUGUCCAAAGUCAUAGCCUAGAAGAGCAGAGCUACGAUAAGACUCUUUCCCCGGACUCCAUCUUUGUGCAAAGCUUAAAAUCUCUGUGAAUAUGGUUGUAAACUGGUUAAGAUAAGCAGGCAUCCAAAAGAUUAUCGUUUCAAGCUGUAGAAAUAUGGAUUCUUUUUUCAGUUUAGAUUCCUAAACCUGCCCCGCAGCCCAGCUACCUUAGUCCCCAAUUACUACCUGAUGAUGCAUGCACUGCAGCUUGCCUUUGCCAGCUCAAGAUCAGUGACAAGGAAAGAAAGGCAGUGGCUCUCAGCCCAGCUCUGAAGCUGUGUCCUGCAGCAGGUGGCUGAUGUCCAGCGCCCCUUGGAGCAGGCAAGAUAGAUCACAAUCACUAAUUAGGUAAGAAGGAGGGUCAAGGUCAGGGGCAUGUCUCUGGCACCAAUUCCCAAAAUGUAACAGAACAGACCUCUGCAGACGGUGGUCUACUUUAUGUCUCACAAACACCAACCAAUCAUCUAAUCAUAAGUAUAUCAUGCUUGCCCCCAUCUUAGCUCUUUGGCAAGGCCCUAAGGGUCCCAACUUAGAUCUAGGACCCCAGCCAACCCUUGAAGCUGUCUUUCAUUUGUUUUGGCUUCUGGAGAAGAGUGUUUCUAAUGGAUAUGAGCCACCCUGAAAGUCACAUACAGGAGUUUUUAAUUCCAGUCCAGAUGGGUGCCAGUUCUCCAGCAGAUACCCAGCCAGACAUUGACACAGAUGCCCUGGAGGUCAGAAUGAAUUCACGACCAGGAUCAGACAUUUCAUAUACAAUAUGCAGCCCCCCCCUCCAAAAAAAAGCAAUAUGCAGCCCAUUGUAUCCUGAGCAUCCUGGAUCACAUUUCUUAAACCUCCCCCAAACCAAAACCAGGUUGCCGGGCAACUAUGAGAGCAGAAAGAACCUGAAUUUAGUUUUCAAAACUGAUGGAGGUGAAAGAGGUCCAAAACACCUACAAAGAAAUGGAGUCAAAUUAAUCUUCUUUCCAGAGAUAGCGUCUCUUUACCUUUGAGCUUUCCUUCCCAUCAGAUCUUGAAAUGGAUUGAACCAUUCAUUCAGU
RNAcentral lists this long non-coding RNA (1415 nucleotides) under Canis lupus familiaris (dog). RNAcentral describes it as "lncRNA (ENSCAFG00000059293.1)". The record is from RNAcentral. Lineage: Eukaryota; Metazoa; Chordata; Mammalia; Carnivora; Canidae.